AGAAAAACAACCUUUCUACCCUCUUCAUCAUGAUCAUCAUCUUGUACCAUCUUUUCUCCAUCUUGACAUCAACACCCCACCCGCCACUAUAAACCUCCACCUUCCUCUGUAGGAGGGCCUUUUCUUGAAUUGCCUUCCUUUCGUAUGCGCGUUGUUCAGAUUCAGCCUCCUCUUCUCGGCUUCCGCGGCGGCGCUCUCUCUCUCGGAGUCCAAGUAGUGCCUCGAAAUGUGUUGCUGGAUUUUGGAUUUCUAUUCAGAGGGAAACAAACUCAUUUGGAGUUGAAUUAGCACAAGGGAGGGAAACUGGGAAAAGGGAGGGAAACUGGGAAAUCGUCUUCAAGCUUCAGCUUGCUGCAAACACUUGACUGCCUUUGACUGCCUAUGCUUUCGAUAAUUGGAAGGGUACGGAUCAGUGGACCACUUUGUCUUCGAAGCGAAGCUCAUAUGAGUAUUUAAAUUAUCAUAUGGAGUCACUUAUUUAUAAAAUGAUCUAUCAGUUUUUAGCAUUUACUAAUUGACAAUGUUUCUGAUUUUGUAUUAGUAUCUUUUGCCUACAAACACAAAUGCAUAUUGUGUGCUUAACAUUUUCCUACAAACACAAAUGCAUAUUGUGUGCUUAACAUGGAAGUUUUUUAACUUCUAAUCACAAUCAUUCUAGAUUGCAGUUGCUCUGGCAGUUGAGCAA
Lotus japonicus is the source of this 685-nucleotide long non-coding RNA. RefSeq lists it as uncharacterized. The transcript is spliced from 3 exons. Lineage: Eukaryota; Viridiplantae; Streptophyta; Magnoliopsida; Fabales; Fabaceae. The record is from RefSeq and is a predicted model, not a curated record.